This is a long non-coding RNA of Bos taurus (domestic cattle), 1287 nucleotides long. Lineage: Eukaryota; Metazoa; Chordata; Mammalia; Artiodactyla; Bovidae. The record is from Ensembl.
UCGGAAACAGAGAGAUAAGGGAAGGCUAAUAAUCGCGAUCCGGUUCUUCAGGGAGGAGGUUCAAAAGGAAACGCGGCGGGGGGACCAGGAGCGGGGUGGGUGGAACUGUGUUUUGGCUUCUGUGCCAACUAAGAACCGGGUUAGGUAAGGCCUAGCCUUCUCCACAUUCCUCUCCCCUUUGGGUCCUUCGUGCAGAUGCCACAGCACCCAGUGGGCCCAUAGGAGACAAGCAUCAGAGACUGAAGAAAGUCAGCAAGCUGGAACACAGGCGUCCCGUUUGGAAGUGUCCAAGGAGACCGCCCCAAGUGCGCCAGCCGCGUCUGGGAGACUUUCCUUCUGGCCGAGAGGGGGAGCCCCGCGUUCCCAGCCGGGAGCGACCCGGAGUCCCGAGCCUCGAGCCCCAGCCGCCAGCCCGCGCCAGUAACGGCUUCAGCCGAUUAGGAAGAGGAGGGAGGGGGCCGCGAGCACGUCGAGGGAGGGGACAGGAGCCGGAGGGUCCCGAGGCCAGCUCGCCGUUGACGUAGAGAAACUUUCCCUCUCGGCCGCGGAGACGGCGCCCCGGCUGCGCCGGAGCGGAGAUCGCCCGGCCCCGAGGACGCCCGCGGCUCUCCACGCCCCUGCCCGGAGCCUGACCCGACUGUAUCCGUCAGGAAGGUACGGAGAGACCGCGGUUUCAUCUGAGGGCUUCCCGGGUAGCCGCGCGUCCCGCCAGGUAGCAGACAGUCUCUUUUAAACUGACACCAAGAGAGGCGGCGGGCGGUGGUCAGCCGCGGCCGGGUGGCGGGGAAAGAAGGGCUAACGCGGCGCUGCGUGCCGCCGCGGGGCAGGUUGCAAAAAUUAGGACGGUGAAAAGCUCAGGGAGUCUUUCAGCAAGAAAGGCGGCUGAGACCUGUUGACGAGUGCCGUGGCAGUGCUGCCGGGAUGAUGACGGAGAGCCUCAGAGGUCGGGGACGCCGCGGUCUCCCGACUCCUGGAGCCCUUUGUGGUAACUUUGGUCCCGGGGGGCCGGGACCGGUGGGCAGGAGCUGGCGGGACGCCGGCAGAUCUGAACGGCGGAGAGUGUGCGGACCAGACGGGGCUGAGCAGGUUCUUACGAAGACCUUGGACCUUAUUCACAUGAUCUUAUGUAAAAUUUGCAGUUAAGAUGUUUUAUACACUCAGGAAAAUAAACACAGAUAAGGAUCAUCAGUGAAUGAGAUUUUUUAGUUAAUGAAGCCGGGUGGCCUGGGAGGCACUGCUAGAAUCAGCAAAUAAAUUAUUUGUUAAUAAAUUCUCCAUAAACAUGAA